Molecule: ribosomal RNA, 2929 nt
Filed under: Escherichia coli
Lineage: Bacteria; Pseudomonadati; Pseudomonadota; Gammaproteobacteria; Enterobacterales; Enterobacteriaceae
Description: bacterial LSU rRNA
Rfam family: Bacterial large subunit ribosomal RNA
Source: RNAcentral
GGGUUGUGAGGUUAAGCGACUAAGCGUACACGGUGGAUGCCCUGGCAGUCAGAGGCGAUGAAGGACGUGCUAAUCUGCGAUAAGCGUCGGUAAGGUGAUAUGAACCGUUAUAACCGGCGAUUUCCGAAUGGGGAAACCCAGUGUGAUUCGUCACACUAUCAUUAACUGAAUCCAUAGGUUAAUGAGGCGAACCGGGGGAACUGAAACAUCUAAGUACCCCGAGGAAAAGAAAUCAACCGAGAUUCCCCCAGUAGCGGCGAGCGAACGGGGAGCAGCCCAGAGCCUGAAUCAGUGUGUGUGUUAGUGGAAGCGUCUGGAAAGGCGCGCGAUACAGGGUGACAGCCCCGUACACAAAAAUGCACAUACUGUGAGCUCGAUGAGUAGGGCGGGACACGUGGUAUCCUGUCUGAAUAUGGGGGGACCAUCCUCCAAGGCUAAAUACUCCUGACUGACCGAUAGUGAACCAGUACCGUGAGGGAAAGGCGAAAAGAACCCCGGCGAGGGGAGUGAAAAAGAACCUGAAACCGUGUACGUACAAGCAGUGGGAGCCUCUUUUAUGGGGUGACUGCGUACCUUUUGUAUAAUGGGUCAGCGACUUAUAUUCUGUAGCAAGGUUAACCGAAUAGGGGAGCCGAAGGGAAACCGAGUCUUAACCGGGCGUUAAGUUGCAGGGUAUAGACCCGAAACCCGGUGAUCUAGCCAUGGGCAGGUUGAAGGUUGGGUAACACUAACUGGAGGACCGAACCGACUAAUGUUGAAAAAUUAGCGGAUGACUUGUGGCUGGGGGUGAAAGGCCAAUCAAACCGGGAGAUAGCUGGUUCUCCCCGAAAGCUAUUUAGGUAGCGCCUCGUGAAUUCAUCUCCGGGGGUAGAGCACUGUUUCGGCAAGGGGGUCAUCCCGACUUACCAACCCGAUGCAAACUGCGAAUACCGGAGAAUGUUAUCACGGGAGACACACGGCGGGUGCUAACGUCCGUCGUGAAGAGGGAAACAACCCAGACCGCCAGCUAAGGUCCCAAAGUCAUGGUUAAGUGGGAAACGAUGUGGGAAGGCCCAGACAGCCAGGAUGUUGGCUUAGAAGCAGCCAUCAUUUAAAGAAAGCGUAAUAGCUCACUGGUCGAGUCGGCCUGCGCGGAAGAUGUAACGGGGCUAAACCAUGCACCGAAGCUGCGGCAGCGACACUGUGUGUUGUUGGGUAGGGGAGCGUUCUGUAAGCCUGUGAAGGUGUACUGUGAGGUAUGCUGGAGGUAUCAGAAGUGCGAAUGCUGACAUAAGUAACGAUAAAGCGGGUGAAAAGCCCGCUCGCCGGAAGACCAAGGGUUCCUGUCCAACGUUAAUCGGGGCAGGGUGAGUCGACCCCUAAGGCGAGGCCGAAAGGCGUAGUCGAUGGGAAACAGGUUAAUAUUCCUGUACUUGGUGUUACUGCGAAGGGGGGACGGAGAAGGCUAUGUUGGCCGGGCGACGGUUGUCCCGGUUUAAGCGUGUAGGCUGGUUUUCCAGGCAAAUCCGGAAAAUCAAGGCUGAGGCGUGAUGACGAGGCACUACGGUGCUGAAGCAACAAAUGCCCUGCUUCCAGGAAAAGCCUCUAAGCAUCAGGUAACAUCAAAUCGUACCCCAAACCGACACAGGUGGUCAGGUAGAGAAUACCAAGGCGCUUGAGAGAACUCGGGUGAAGGAACUAGGCAAAAUGGUGCCGUAACUUCGGGAGAAGGCACGCUGAUAUGUAGGUGAAGUCCCUCGCGGAUGGAGCUGAAAUCAGUCGAAGAUACCAGCUGGCUGCAACUGUUUAUUAAAAACACAGCACUGUGCAAACACGAAAGUGGACGUAUACGGUGUGACGCCUGCCCGGUGCCGGAAGGUUAAUUGAUGGGGUCAGCGCAAGCGAAGCUCUUGAUCGAAGCCCCGGUAAACGGCGGCCGUAACUAUAACGGUCCUAAGGUAGCGAAAUUCCUUGUCGGGUAAGUUCCGACCUGCACGAAUGGCGUAAUGAUGGCCAGGCUGUCUCCACCCGAGACUCAGUGAAAUUGAACUCGCUGUGAAGAUGCAGUGUACCCGCGGCAAGACGGAAAGACCCCGUGAACCUUUACUAUAGCUUGACACUGAACAUUGAGCCUUGAUGUGUAGGAUAGGUGGGAGGCUUUGAAGUGUGGACGCCAGUCUGCAUGGAGCCGACCUUGAAAUACCACCCUUUAAUGUUUGAUGUUCUAACGUGGACCCGUGAUCCGGGUUGCGGACAGUGUCUGGUGGGUAGUUUGACUGGGGCGGUCUCCUCCUAAAGAGUAACGGAGGAGCACGAAGGUUGGCUAAUCCUGGUCGGACAUCAGGAGGUUAGUGCAAUGGCAUAAGCCAGCUUGACUGCGAGCGUGACGGCGCGAGCAGGUGCGAAAGCAGGUCAUAGUGAUCCGGUGGUUCUGAAUGGAAGGGCCAUCGCUCAACGGAUAAAAGGUACUCCGGGGAUAACAGGCUGAUACCGCCCAAGAGUUCAUAUCGACGGCGGUGUUUGGCACCUCGAUGUCGGCUCAUCACAUCCUGGGGCUGAAGUAGGUCCCAAGGGUAUGGCUGUUCGCCAUUUAAAGUGGUACGCGAGCUGGGUUUAGAACGUCGUGAGACAGUUCGGUCCCUAUCUGCCGUGGGCGCUGGAGAACUGAGGGGGCUGCUCCUAGUACGAGAGGACCGGAGUGGACGCAUCACUGGUGUUCGGGUUGUCAUGCCAAUGGCACUGCCCGGUAGCUAAAUGCGGAAGAGAUAAGUGCUGAAAGCAUCUAAGCACGAAACUUGCCCCGAGAUGAGUUCUCCCUGACCCUUUAAGGGUCCUGAAGGAACGUUGAAGACGACGACGUUGAUAGGCCGGGUGUGUAAGCGCAGCGAUGCGUUGAGCUAACCGGUACUAAUGAACCGUGAGGCUUAACCUUACAACGCCGAAGGUGUUU